CUUCACUCUGCCCUCUCUCUUGUCCGUCUCGGCGUAACGCUGCGGCCGUUUGUCUUUGACGUCACAAUACUGGAUUUGAACGAGCCAAUCGGCACUCGCAGUCUUGUACGCCGGUUACAUAUGUUGGAGGACGGGUAGAGCUGCGCUCGGCCACAUCGAGGGGGAUCAAAUGGUGGGGCGCAAAAGGUGCGUCGGCUGAAAAUCGGGACCCGUACGACUGGCAGGCCGCUGGCUGCUGCUACUUGCAGUUGUACAGUGACGAGUGCGGUAGUGCCUCAUCUGGUAUCGUACCAGGUGUACUCUCUUUCUUUCUCGGUCUCUGUGUCCUUGGUACUCGAUGGAGACCGUGAAGGGACCGGAUACGUGAAGAACUGAACUUUGGGAAAUUCUCCUUUUUUGAACCAUCAGGUGGCAAAUACGACAGCCGCGUGCGUACGACGAUCACGGAACGGACUCGUAAUGGGAGGAAAGCGGACGGAUUAUGACGCGAAAGGAGAAACUCGCGGAGACCCGGCUUGCGUCUUGUGCACGAUUUAUAUUGAUAUUUUUAUCCUGUAAUAUUAUCCAAAAAUUAUCGGAGAAAGGAACGAUCUGCGAAGACUUCUUAGUGAAGCAGCAAACCAUUUUACCGCAAUACUUGUACUAUGGAUAGGAAUAAUGAGAAAAUAUUGUAUGCACAUGAUACAUUAGAUUUAAAAAAUAGCCAGCGUAAAGGAUGAAUGGAUAUGUGUGAGAUAAAAUGAAUGAGAUAAAAAAAUGUGAACAAAGUCCCUUUCUUGGCUUGUAAUACUGAAGGAAUAUAAAGGAAUUUAGCACAAUACUUAAAGUCUGAAAAUAUAACAAUCAACCUUAUUCUGGCUGUCGUAUCGAAAGGUCAAGUCAUCGAUUUCGAAGGAGAUCUCGCCGUUGCGUUCAAGAGGAUCUUGGCGCGGACAUUCUCUUUGGUUAUCUAGCUGUAUGAGUUUUAUCCGACAUCAUAAAGCUAGGUUACCGGAGUUAAGCUCCUCGCCAUAUCAACUCCAGCGAUCUUCCCUUUAUGCGUUCCUCUACGCUUCAGCGAAAAUAAAGCACCGAGACCCCGAAUACUGUUACACUCGACGUGUCCUGGGAUGUCUCGUCGCGGACGCAUCGACUUAUCGGAAUAACAAAGACGCGGCCGGACGGGAAAAAAAAGGAAGAUUCGAAUUUGCGAUAAAUACGUUAACAUCUUCAGCAGCAGUGCGAUUCGACGGUAAUUUGUACAUCGAGAUAAUUAUAUUUGAGCACCGAUUCUUUCGCAUCGAAUAAAGCAGUGUACGUCCCCGAAAUCAUUCCUCUCCCACGUUCUCGAAUAGGAAGGAUCUAUAUAGGUAUUGUCGAGCAUGGAAUUUACAGCCGUUGGGCCCUUUACAAUGGGUCGAGUGUUCUGGUAUGAGAACCCGGGUAAACACCCGGGAUCCAUAAAGAGGUAAGCGACACUCGCUGGUCCCGCAAUCGCGACGCGCGAAUGCGAAUGUCGUCUAGCUGUUGUACGACUCUCUCUCUCUGUAUUCCCCUCGUGCUCUCGCGAAACUACGAGCUGGGCAUUUGUAAUUGUUGUUAGUGCCAGUUGCUCGUGACCGGCCUGUCGAGAGAAGGAAGGAAGGAGAAGAAUUUUUCAAACAUGCGCACGUUAUUUCGCACCUACAUCACGCGGUCAUCACGUGGCUGCAGACAAUUUCUGCAGUCACGAUAAUCGCUUUAGAGAAAGUCACGAUAUCGCGUCGGAACCGUAGCAAAAUGGGAUGGGAUGUCCCAAUUUCGAGAUUCAAGCUGAAUCCGGAGGUAUCGUCGAUACUAUGACUAGAAGAAAAUCGAUUUUAAAUUCGUCGAACGAUCCGCGAUUGAAAUUCAACAUUGAAUGGAGUGGUCUGUAAUA
RNAcentral lists this long non-coding RNA (1897 nucleotides) under Acromyrmex echinatior (Panamanian leafcutter ant). Its description in RNAcentral is "uncharacterized LOC105145247, transcript variant X2". The stretch from base 930 to 1006 matches the Rfam family "mir-9/mir-79 microRNA precursor family". The record is from RNAcentral. Lineage: Eukaryota; Metazoa; Arthropoda; Insecta; Hymenoptera; Formicidae.